GCCGGGCAUGGUGGUGCGUGCCUGUAGUCCCAGCUACUUGGGAGGCUGAGGCAGGGGAAUCGCUUGAACCUGGGAGGCGGAGGUUGUAGUGAGCCAAGAUGGCGCCACUACACUCCAGCCUGGUGACAGAGUGAGACUCUGUCUCAA
This is an unclassified non-coding RNA of Macaca mulatta (Rhesus monkey), 147 nucleotides long. It matches the Rfam family "Metazoan signal recognition particle RNA". Rfam says of the family: The signal recognition particle (SRP) is a universally conserved ribonucleoprotein. It is involved in the co-translational targeting of proteins to membranes. The eukaryotic SRP consists of a 300-nucleotide 7S RNA and six proteins: SRPs 72, 68, 54, 19, 14, and 9. The record is from Ensembl. NCBI's taxonomy places the organism in Eukaryota, Metazoa, Chordata, Mammalia, Primates, Cercopithecidae.